CUUCUGUCCAUUCCUAUCUAGAGGUUCCUCUACAUGGGAAAAAUGGGGCAAAAGUGCAACAUUUCUGCAACCCCUUUGCACCCGCCAUAAACGCACGAGAACUCCUACAAGGCUGAGCCGCGACGAGGAGGGCGGAGAGUUUGAGGGAACGCCUAGACCAGAGAGUUGAUGCCUUUCCUAGAAAAUCACCGGAAAUGAUAAUUGGCGGACUAGGAAGUGGAGCUUCUAUAUAGUUCUGUUUCUCUUUUCUUGGGGAGAGUAUCUGCGGGAAGCACCCAUUCAUAUAUUCAUUCAGUCAGCUAAUUUUGAAUCCAGCACAUACUAUUGCAAGCGCUGUUUUAGGCGUUGAGAAUACAACAGUGAACAAGACGACAAAAAUUCCUGCGCUCACGGAGCCUAAAAGCCUACAUUUUAGCGAGGGUAGAACGACCAUAAACAGUGUAUAUAUUAAUAAGUCACUUAUGCACCAUAUUGGAAAGUGAUAAAGCGCUAUAGAGAAAAAGAAGAAUUCACGUAAAGCAAGGUAAGGCACAUCAGGAUUGGAAGGAGGGGAUAAGUUGCAAUCUUAAAUAAGGCACUUAGUUAACGUAGACCUCCUUGGGAAGAUGACAUAUAAGAAAACACUUGAAGGAGGCAAGAUUAUUAGCCGUGGAGAUCGCUUGAGGUGAAGGGAGCAGCCAAUGGAAAGGCCCUAAGAUGGAAGGAAGGAAGGUCGGUGUGGCUGAAGAAGAUUGAGGGAGUGGGAGAAGAGUAAAAGGUGUUGAGAAUCACACAUCCCGUAGACUUGUGUGCCACUCUUAAAACUUCAGCUUUUAUUUUGAGUGAGCAGGAGAGGAAGUUAGAAGUAGUGGGCACAUUCAGUAGGGCCUUGCAUACCUCUGUAAGGACUUCAGCUUUUAUUCUAAGUAAGGUUGAGCCACUGGAGAGUUUUCAGCAGAAAGAUGAAAUGAUCCAACUCAAGUUGUAAACGGACCACUCAAACUGCUCUAUUAAGAAAGACAGGAGGAAGGCAAGGAUUGAAGAAAGGAGACCAGUUAGAAGGCUACCACAGUAAUGGAAAGGAGGGGAGAUAGCAGGUGACGAUGGCUCAGAAAAAGGUGGUAGCAAUAGAGAUUGUAUUCUAGAUAUGUUCACAUUUUCAGUUUGUCUUCCUGCCUUAGGUUCUCAGUGACUCCCUGUUUUUUUCUGUGGUCACAUUCCUCUUUUCCCUUCACCAAAUAUGCAAGGAAACAAGAAGUGAGAUCA
This 1245-nucleotide long non-coding RNA is filed under the name Macaca mulatta (Rhesus monkey). RNAcentral describes it as "lncRNA (ENSMMUG00000058238.1)". Lineage: Eukaryota; Metazoa; Chordata; Mammalia; Primates; Cercopithecidae. The record is from RNAcentral.